GAGUGGUGAUUGACGUGUAUGGGUACGUUGGAUCCCUGCUUGGGCAGCGACAACGUACCUUACUUGUCUCUUCAGUUGUUGGCAUAGGCGUGCUGAGCCUUGGCCAAAUGAUGUUUUCCUGUGCUAUAUACCCAUUACAACGGUACUGAAUUUGCUCAAUUGCAUCUGUUCGCUUCUUGUUACGUCCCCUCGGAUUUUGGCAUGAAGUGAACGUUGAAGAAUUGAUCGUGUUCCACUUUCCUUGCAUGCCCGUGCUUGGGUUGUUGGGCCAUGAUGCUUGCUCGAUCUCUUGGUUGCGGAAUACCUUGUGGGCGUGAGGCAUUAGUCUCUAUUCUCGCCCUUUACUGAGCGUUUAACGCUACGUGCGAACGACAGUUGUGGACCGUUUUGAUUAGGUCAUUAUGGCUUGGCUCAUACGGUCCCAAAGUCGAUGAGGAAUGCUACCUGGUUGAUCCUGCCAGUAGUCAUAUGCUUGUCUCAAAGAUUAA
Molecule: unclassified non-coding RNA, 488 nt
Filed under: Centrosolenia porphyrotricha
Lineage: Eukaryota; Viridiplantae; Streptophyta; Magnoliopsida; Lamiales; Gesneriaceae
Description: partial contains external transcribed spacer and 18S ribosomal RNA
Rfam family: Eukaryotic small subunit ribosomal RNA (bases 442-488)
Source: RNAcentral